This 296-nucleotide long non-coding RNA is filed under the name Phoenix dactylifera (date palm). RNAcentral's name for it is "long non-coding RNA (PDAC_LNC010567)". The record is from RNAcentral. Lineage: Eukaryota; Viridiplantae; Streptophyta; Magnoliopsida; Arecales; Arecaceae.
UUGUAUAAAAGUUUAAACUCCAUAUGAUUACUAAAUAAAAUGUUAAUGUAAGAAAAACAGAAUUUAUUUUGAUUGCUCCGAUACGCAUCCGAAACAUAUCAUUUCUUAUCUUCAAAGUAUACUAAUUUUGAUUCAAAUGAUGUGUCUUACGAUGAUCUUGAUUGCAAGUAAAUAUUUUUAAAAUAUAUGACUUUAUUUUAAUAUUUAAAAAUUUAUUGAGCUUCAUGUAUACAUUGCUGAAAAACUGAAAUUAAGAAAUUGAGUUCUAUAAAUAUAUAUACCUCAAUGAUCAUCUA